Dendrobium catenatum is the source of this 991-nucleotide long non-coding RNA. RefSeq lists it as uncharacterized. The transcript has 2 exons. NCBI's taxonomy places the organism in Eukaryota, Viridiplantae, Streptophyta, Magnoliopsida, Asparagales, Orchidaceae. The record is from RefSeq and is a predicted model, not a curated record.
UAUUUUUGUUAAUUGAUUCAUAAUAUGGAUGGACAUUAAUAGCUUGUUUUUUUAUCUUGUUUGUUUUAUUUUUUGCACUUCUUUCUCUUCUUUGUUGGUUAGUGGUUGUGGUGGGGUUUUAGGCUGGCUGGUUGGGGAAUUUUUUUCCUGGGUUUUGGCUGUUGGGCUGGUGUUCUUUUGUGGGUUUAGUAUGUUGUUUAUGUUAUGAUUACUGGUUAUUUUUUUCUGGAGGUUUGGUUGUUGAUUUGGUUGAGGUAGUUGCUUUUGUUCUUGGUUGGUUUUUGGUUUUUCUCUAUCUUAGGUUCUUGCUGGGCUUCUAUCUUGAUCGUGGUUGUUGCUGCUGGUUGGUUUUUGCUCCUUUCUCUAUGUAGGGGCUUGUCUUUGUUGGACGGUUUGGUUUCUUAUCUUUCUAGUUUAAUUUUUGUCUUGUUUCUAUUUAUCUUCCAUGUUUUUCUGUUUAAGGUAGAGGAGAUUUGUUGAGCUUGGCUUUUUUGCUGGCAGGUGAAAGGAUGCUUGCAAGGAUUUAUUCAUUCAUCUUUCUGAAGCUGUUGGAAGGAUUGUGGUCUUAUAUUUCGUGGAUUCAGUCUGUGGAUCCUAUUAUUGUGCUAGAUCAUGGUAGAGGAGAUUAUCCGAGCUUGGCUUUUUUGCUGGAAGGUGUGAGCAUGCUUGCGUGGAUUUGCUCAUUUAUCUUCUGAAGCUGCUGGAAGGAUUGUGGUCUUAUAUUUCGUGGAUUUUUUCUAUGGAUCCUACUGUUGUUGCUUGAUCGUGGUUUACUUUUUCAGUUGCUUCGGUUGUUCUGGCUGUUGUUGCUAGUCUAUAAUAGUUUAUUGGAUGGCUGUUGUUGGCUCUUUUUGAGAAAGGCAUUUUUUUGGGUGGAGGGACUUGUCUUUUCUAGAUGUUGUGGUUGUAGUUUUUUACUGCUUCUGUUAUAAUUACUGUUGUGGGGGUUGUUAGUUCUUUAUUUAUAGGGCUACUUUGUUUUUGUAGCUUU